Molecule: long non-coding RNA, 500 nt
Organism: Chinchilla lanigera (long-tailed chinchilla)
Lineage: Eukaryota; Metazoa; Chordata; Mammalia; Rodentia; Chinchillidae
Exons: 2
Source: RefSeq, a predicted model, not a curated record
GAACAACUUCUGCUAGGAAGAAGCACACGAAAGAAAAAAACCAAGAGCACAAGAUGGAUGAGGCAGAGGGGCUGCCGCCUUCCCAGCACAGCAAUGGCACAGAUCCAGUUCCCAGACUGAACUCUGGUUCCUAUCAACCUUCUGGACGGGCCCUGUUACUGCGCAUCGCCUCCCCUGCAGGAAAUUCCCUGCCUUCCGCCAAAUGGAAUUCAUGAACCCCUGCCUCAAUCGCAAACCUCCCCUCUCCAUGGACCUGGGAAGCCCACAUUCUGCUCCGGGCCACACUCUGCAGCUGGGCAUGGAAGGCACAGCCGCAUCUCAGUGCCACCCGUCUGCGCUGGUGGUCAUCCAAGGUACUGAACGCCACCACUGUGGCCACCACCUCAUCGGGUCCCCUGCCGUGCAGGCCUCAGCUGCCUGAACUACACCCACGCCAAAUCCAUCACAACUCAGUUACCCACCCUACAAAUUCUAACCAAAAUAAACCUGGGAAGACUGCA